GGGGACUUAGCUCAGUUGGCUAGAGCGCCUGCUUUGCACGCAGGAGGUCAAGGGUUCGACUCCCUUAGUCUCCACCA
This 77-nucleotide transfer RNA is filed under the name Candidatus Peregrinibacteria bacterium. Its description in RNAcentral is "tRNA-Ala". It matches the Rfam family "tRNA". From Rfam's summary of the family: Transfer RNA (tRNA) molecules are approximately 80 nucleotides in length. Their secondary structure includes four short double-helical elements and three loops (D, anti-codon, and T loops). The record is from RNAcentral. RNAcentral also lists the same sequence under 1 other name. Lineage: Bacteria; Candidatus Peregrinibacteriota.